Molecule: long non-coding RNA, 1296 nt
Organism: Panthera uncia (snow leopard)
Lineage: Eukaryota; Metazoa; Chordata; Mammalia; Carnivora; Felidae
Exons: 11
Source: RefSeq, a predicted model, not a curated record
CCACGAGGCGCCUGCGCGUUGAGCUCUGUAGGCUUCUUGCCUAUGGGCAAGUGAGACUACGCCGCCGUGACGUCGACGUUGCCCUGGCAACCUAGGGACACUCUUGGAGUUGUUGGACCGCCCAAGCCGUGACUUGCGCUCUGUAAGGUCGUGACCUGUGUGUGCGGAAAAAGCCUAAAAUGAGCCUGGUUUAAGAGCUACCACAGGUGCUGGACUCUUCUAGAAAACCUGUCGCGUCGGUUUGGUCUCCUUUAUAACACCGUUAACUGGUUGGAAUAUACCAAUAAAUAUGCUGUUACUGCUCAAACAAACCACUUCCUUGUGUUGCCAUCUUCAAUCAAAAUGUAGACUGCUAUAGAUAACUUGGAAAACACAGAAAACAACAACAAAAAGGUCAUCUGUGAUCAUGCCCUAGAGAGAACUACUUUUGAUAUUAAGCUGGGGAGGAUGAGGAUCUAGCACCACACACUAUCUUCUUGUCUUCCCAUUCUGCUUUCAACAUAAACCAGAGACCAUUAGGAACACAGCUGAAAGCAAGUUAAAUUUAUUAUUUUCUGCAACAAAGAAGACCCUACAUCAUGGAGAGCAAAGACAAUAUCAAACAGUCAGAAGUCCUGCUAGGCUAAUAGCUGGUCAUGUGAUCAAUUUUGGAAUCAAUAUAACAGGAAGCAAAAAAUCGGAGGAAACCAAGAAAGAGGAAGAAAAGGGAUAUCAGAAACAGAAGAUGCACUGAGCUGAGAGGCUGGUUGGUUGGCCAGAGUUUCUCAUCAAGGAGUACAUGCUGUUUGCUCCCCAGAUGGACAGCCUGGAUGAGCUACAAAUCCACAGAGCCUGGGACACAAGAAAUUCCAAUGCUCAACAAAUGCUGCAAGUAGGUCAAACCUUCACUGGAAAACCAGGUUGGGUUGCAGACACCAGAUGACAGGAGGGGCAGUGACAGAUUGGAGUGACCCAGAGUACUGGAACAAUGAUGAAAAAGAAAAGAAACGUAAAAGAAAAAAAAUUGAAUAGAUGGACCAGCGAAGAGACUGAAACACGAUUGAAAUUACAUCUUUUUCUCCUAGAAGUCAAAGUAUGAAGCACUUUAUAGUACAUAAACUAAGUAGAUUUGAGCUUGCUGGACUUGAGCAUCAGGCUUGUGUUGGUUUAAGGGUUUGCAGGACUUGUACCACCUUGAAACUUUCUGAUUUUGGAGUAAUUGCUGUACCAGUUUUUUCUAUUUUCAGGUAAGUUCAUUGUUUUCCAGGUUUCUCAGUAGUCCAUAGCCCCUCCACACUGUAAUGUGUUCCUCAUAUC